Molecule: ribosomal RNA, 301 nt
Filed under: uncultured bacterium
Lineage: Bacteria
Description: partial 16S ribosomal RNA
Rfam family: Bacterial small subunit ribosomal RNA
Source: RNAcentral
CAGUCGCCGCGGGAAUACGUAGGGUGCGAGCGUUAAUCGGAAUUACUGGGCGUAAAGCGUGCGCAGGCGGUUGUGUAAGACAGGUGUGAAGUCCCCGGGCUUAACCUGGGAACUGCGCUUGUGACUGCACAGCUAGAGUAUGGCAGAGGGGGGUGGAAUUCCACGUGUAGCAGUGAAAUGCGUAGAGAUGUGGAGGAACACCGAUGGCGAAGGCAGCCCCCUGGGCCAAUACUGACGCUCAUGCACGAAAGCGUGGGGAGCAAACAGGAUUAGAUACCCCUGUAGUCCCUGUCUCUUAUAC